RNAcentral lists this ribosomal RNA (484 nucleotides) under uncultured bacterium. RNAcentral's name for it is "partial 16S ribosomal RNA". It matches the Rfam family "Bacterial small subunit ribosomal RNA", at positions 30 to 507 of the family's 1533-position model. The record is from RNAcentral.
AUUGAACGCUAGCGGGAUGCUUUACACAUGCAGGUCGAACGGCAGCGCGGACUUCGGUCUGGCGGCGAGUGGCGAACGGGUGAGUAAUGUAUCUGAACGUGCCCAGUAGCGGGGGAUAACUACGCGAAAGCGUAGCUAAUACCGCAUACGCCCUACGGUGGAAAGCAGGGGAUCGUAAGACCUUGCACUAUUGGGGCGGCCGAUAUCGGAUUAGAUAGUUGGUGAGGUAACGGCUCACCCAGGCGACGAUCCGUAGCUGGUUUGAGAGGACGACCAGCCACACUGGGACUGAGACACGGCCCAGACUCCUACGCGAGGCAGCAGUGGGGAAUUUUGGACAAUGGGGGCAACCCUGAUCCAGCCAUCCCGCGUGUGCGAUGAAGGCCUUCGGGUUGUAAAGCACUUUUGGCGGGAAAGAAACGUAGCGGGCUAAUACCGCGUGGAACUGACGGUACCUGCAGAAUAAGCACCGGCUAACUACGUG